GUGCCAGCAGCCGCGGUAAUACAGAGAGUGCGAACGUUGUUCGGAAUUACUGGGCUUAAAGCGCACGUAGGCGGCGCCGCAAGUGUUGGGUGAAAUCCCACGGCUUACCCGUGGAACUGCCUGGCAGACUGCGGUGCUAGAGGAUGGUAGGGGAGAGCGGAACUCCUGGUGGAGCGGUGAAAUGCGUAGAUAUCAGGAGGAACACCGGUGGCGAAGGCGGCUCUCUGGUCCAUGACUGACGCUGAGGUGCGAAAGCUAGGGGAGCAAACGGGAUUAGAUACCCCGGUAGUCC
This 292-nucleotide ribosomal RNA is filed under the name uncultured bacterium. RNAcentral describes it as "partial 16S ribosomal RNA". It matches the Rfam family "Bacterial small subunit ribosomal RNA", at positions 505 to 796 of the family's 1533-position model. The record is from RNAcentral.